This 79-nucleotide transfer RNA is filed under the name Rattus norvegicus (Norway rat). It matches the Rfam family "tRNA". From Rfam's summary of the family: Transfer RNA (tRNA) molecules are approximately 80 nucleotides in length. Their secondary structure includes four short double-helical elements and three loops (D, anti-codon, and T loops). Further hydrogen bonds mediate the characteristic L-shaped molecular structure. tRNAs have two regions of fundamental functional importance: the anti-codon, which is responsible for specific mRNA codon recognition, and the 3' end, to which the tRNAs corresponding amino acid is attached (by aminoacyl-tRNA synthetases). tRNAs cope with the degeneracy of the genetic code in two manners: having more than one tRNA (with a specific anti-codon) for a particular amino acid; and 'wobble' base-pairing, i.e. permitting non-standard base-pairing at the 3rd anti-codon position. Lineage: Eukaryota; Metazoa; Chordata; Mammalia; Rodentia; Muridae. The record is from Rfam by way of RNAcentral.
GGGGAUUUAGCUCAGUGGUAGAGCGCUUGCCUAGCACUGCUUAGCAAGCGCAAGGCCCUGGGUUCGGUCCCCAGCUCCA